AUACGGAGGAUGCAAGCGUUAUCCGGAUUUAUUGGGUUUAAAGGGUGCGUAGGCGGUUUGCUAAGCGGGAGGUGAAAUGCCGGCGCUCAACGUCGAAGUGCCUCCCGAACUGGUGGACUGGAAUGACUCUGCCGUGGGAGGAAUGUGUAGUGUAGCGGUGAAAUGCUUAGAGAUUACACAGAACACCGAUUGCGAAGGCAUCUCACGAAGGGUUGAUUGACGCUGAGGCACGAAAGCGUGGGGAUCAAACAGGAUUAGAUACCCUGGUAGUCCACGCAGUAAACGAUGAUGGCUAACCGCUGGGCUUAUCAGUUCAGUGGCCAAGCGAAAGCGAUAAGCCAUCCACCUGGGGAGUACGACCGCAAGGUUGAAACUCAAAUGAAUUGGCGGGG
This 392-nucleotide ribosomal RNA is filed under the name uncultured bacterium. Its description in RNAcentral is "partial 16S ribosomal RNA". It matches the Rfam family "Bacterial small subunit ribosomal RNA", at positions 523 to 918 of the family's 1533-position model. The record is from RNAcentral.